RNAcentral lists this long non-coding RNA (741 nucleotides) under Pan troglodytes (chimpanzee). RNAcentral's name for it is "long non-coding RNA NONPTRT002683". The record is from RNAcentral. Lineage: Eukaryota; Metazoa; Chordata; Mammalia; Primates; Hominidae.
CUGCUGACCUCAGUCUCCUCUGUCCUCAAGUCGCCUACAUGCGCGCCCGGGAGCUGCACACUCUUGAAGUGACCGGCCUGGAGACGGUUGCCCAGAGCAAGGUAAAGAUAAUGAUGUAUCCCUGAUCAUCCUUACCCCAGCCACUACUUGCCUUUCCUCCUGUGGCUUCCCCAGACAACACUCUUGACUCUCCCUUUCCUUUGAAGGCCCAUGUAGCAUCCCUGGAGGGCCUCAUCUCUGAAGAUAAGGUCGUGCUUCUGGCAGGUUCUCCCUUACAGAAUGAAGCCACCCUGGGUCAGUGUGGGGUGGAAGCCCUGACGACCCUGGAAGUGGUUGGCCGCAGGCUAGGAGAUGGUGAGUUUAUAAAAGACUGUCUAUUGAGUGCAGCGGAAAUCAUGUGUCCUGAACAGAAAGAAGCAUUUGCAGACAUAAGCCUAACCAGAAAUACUGUUGCUCAGAGAGUAAAAGAUAUGGCUGAGAAUUUACAGGAUAAGUUGUGAGAAAAAGUGAGAUCAUUUGUGACAUUUUCUAUUGCAGUUGAUGAGUGCACAUAUGUAAAUAAUACAAGUCAGUUAAUUAUGCUUAUCCAUGGUGUUGCUGAGAAUUUUGAUAUCACUGAAGAACUUUUAGACAUGGUACCUAUGGCAGAUCCAACCACUGAAAGUGACUUAUUUUUGUAUGUUGAAAAAAGUCGGCUGGGCACAGUGGCUCAUGCCGGUAAUCCCAGCAUUUUGGGAGGCC